UGGGAAGAUUUGAGGAACAGUGUGGAAAGU
RNAcentral lists this non-coding RNA (30 nucleotides) under Rattus norvegicus (Norway rat). Lineage: Eukaryota; Metazoa; Chordata; Mammalia; Rodentia; Muridae. The record is from RNAcentral.